Molecule: long non-coding RNA, 568 nt
Filed under: Equus caballus (horse)
Lineage: Eukaryota; Metazoa; Chordata; Mammalia; Perissodactyla; Equidae
Description: lncRNA (ENSECAG00000027971.3)
Source: RNAcentral
GGCAAAUCCACAGGGACUACUGAAGGAUGGCAGGAGAAUUCCGGCGCUCCUCUCCACAGGACCAGCUGGCAGGAGUCCUGGUUUGCCGACCUACCACUAUGUAAUACCUAUCUUGGCAUUUGACCCGAAGUUAGGUCUCCCUUCUUUCCUUCCAUCUCCUUCCCUCCCUCCCGUCUGCUCCCUCCUCUCCUCCAUCUGUCUCUCCAUUCCUUCCUUCCUUCCUCCCGCCCUCCCUCCCUUCCUCACUCUUUUUUUCUGCACUUAACAGGUAUUAAGAAUCUACUCUGGGGGCUGGCCUGGUGGUGCAGUGGUUAAGUGCACACAUUCCGCUUCGGCGGCCCGGGGUUUGCUGGUUUGGAUCCCAGGUGCGGACAUGGCACCACUUGGCAAGCCAUGCUGUGCUGCUUCUGUGAAUUUUGCUAAUCUGAUUCUGCUGCUGAGAGAUCCAUAGAAGAACAUCCAGUGUCUGUCCUGAGAGGCAGGGCCAGAAGUGGAACAGGGUCUCUCAGCCUAAUUGCUGCUCCUGGCAGCUAGUCCAGUGCCCAGCGCUUGAGAAUCUUUGAUUGUG